AUAAGUAAGAUCACCCGGUAUAAUCAAUAUUUGCUUGAUUUUUAAAUCGCUAUCACCUCAAGUGACCCAAAUUAAGCAAAAAUGUUAAUCAAGGCCUGGCCGAUGAGACUAAAGCAACCCGAAAACAUAUAAAUAAACAUUGAAGAUUGAAGACAACAAUUUCAAUUUAUAUGUAUAGUAAAAGCCUGGAAUCGAUCCAAACUACAGCGCGUGUGUACUAUUGAAUGCGAUUUUUGAGGCGAUUCGAACUUCGCUCGAAUUUUGGCUGAAUCUCGGCAAGAUUCUGAAUGGAUGUGAUGUGAAACAGUUCGGAGUGAAUGCAUCUUUGAUUUUAGAUAGAACUUCCGCUGAAAUUUCCCCAUAGUGUCCACACUAAGGAUGGCAGGGGUUGAAGUGACCUUUGGCGUAUGGGACUAUGUGGUGGUUGCAAUUGUUCUUCUCAUAUCAGCCUCUAUUGGCGUCUAUUAUCGGUUUACCGGCGGUAAACAGAAAACAGUACAGGUGA
Long non-coding RNA from Dendroctonus ponderosae (mountain pine beetle), 505 nucleotides. RefSeq lists it as uncharacterized. The record is from RefSeq and is a predicted model, not a curated record. Lineage: Eukaryota; Metazoa; Arthropoda; Insecta; Coleoptera; Curculionidae. The transcript is spliced from 2 exons.